Molecule: long non-coding RNA, 418 nt
Filed under: Salmo salar (Atlantic salmon)
Lineage: Eukaryota; Metazoa; Chordata; Actinopteri; Salmoniformes; Salmonidae
Description: lncRNA (ENSSSAG00000104486.1, ENSSSAG00075064509.1)
Source: RNAcentral
AGAGAGUAGCCAAGAGCAGAGCAGCUUCUCCAAUCAUCUGCUGGUGACAGCAUGACUGCGGCCACAUUAACAUUCUCCUCGGUAGACGACACAAACUCAAAAGGGACUUCCUGGAGCAGACUGGGCCAUGCAGGGGGGAUCUGUACCAACACAUUGGAAUUCUGGGAUGCCCGCUCUGCUCUGCUCAGUUGGCAUCACACGGCACAGCUGCCUAAUGCCGGGGAAGCCAAAUGCUCCUCUAGCCAGAGGAGACCACAGAGACUGUGGCAGGCUCAGUACCCACAGGAGAAAGAGGGAGAGGGCGGUGAUGAAGGAAGGAAGAGAGGAAAGAGAGGAACAGCAACGUACAAACACAUGUACAAACGGACCCGCCUGUUGGUUUACAGUACUUGACUUCAUCUAUAACGUGAUGGCACAG